RNAcentral lists this transfer RNA (72 nucleotides) under Cavia porcellus (domestic guinea pig). It matches the Rfam family "tRNA". Rfam says of the family: Transfer RNA (tRNA) molecules are approximately 80 nucleotides in length. Lineage: Eukaryota; Metazoa; Chordata; Mammalia; Rodentia; Caviidae. The record is from Rfam by way of RNAcentral.
GGGGAUAGAGUUCAAGGGCACAGCACCUGCCUGGCAAGCAGGACAUCUUGAGCUCAAUUCCUAGUAUCUUCC